RNAcentral lists this ribosomal RNA (427 nucleotides) under uncultured bacterium. RNAcentral describes it as "partial 16S ribosomal RNA". It matches the Rfam family "Bacterial small subunit ribosomal RNA", at positions 355 to 774 of the family's 1533-position model. The record is from RNAcentral.
UGGGGAAUAUUGGACAAUGGGCGAAAGCCUGAUCCAGCCAUGCCGCGUGUGUGAAGAAGGUCUUCGGAUUGUAAAGCAAUUUAAGUUGGGAGGAAGGGCAUUAACCUAAUACGUUAGUGUUUUGACGUUACCGACAGAAUAAGCACCGGCUAACUCUGUGCCAGCAGCCGCGGUAAUACAGAGGGUGCAAGCGUUAAUCGGAAUUACUGGGCGUAAAGCGCGCGUAGGUGGUUUGUUAAGUUGGAUGUGAAAUCCCCGGGCUCAACCUGGGAACUGCAUUCAAAACUGACUGACUAGAGUAUGGUAGAGGGUGGUGGAAUUUCCUGUGUAGCGGUGAAAUGCGUAGAUAUAGGAAGGAACACCAGUGGCGAAGGCGACCACCUGGACUAAUACUGACACUGAGGUGCGAAAGCGUGGGGAGCAAACA